This 1318-nucleotide ribosomal RNA is filed under the name metagenome. RNAcentral's name for it is "bacterial LSU rRNA". It matches the Rfam family "Bacterial large subunit ribosomal RNA", at positions 1596 to 2925 of the family's 2925-position model. The record is from RNAcentral.
UUUGUCACACUGCCGAGAAAAGCUUCUAGUUAGAAAACAACGGCCCGUACCGUAAACCGACACAGGUAGUCGAGGAGAGUAUCCUAAGGUGUGCGAGAGAACUCUCGUUAAGGAACUCGGCAAAAUGACCCCGUAACUUCGGGAGAAGGGGUGCUGUUCGCAAGAACAGCCGCAGUGAAUAGGCCCAAGCGACUGUUUAUCAAAAACACAGGUCUCUGCAAAAUCGAAAGAUGAAGUAUAGGGGCUGACGCCUGCCCGGUGCUGGAAGGUUAAGAGGAGUGCUUAGCGCAAGCGAAGGUACGAAUUGAAGCCCCAGUAAACGGCGGCCGUAACUAUAACGGUCCUAAGGUAGCGAAAUUCCUUGUCGGGUAAGUUCCGACCCGCACGAAAGGCGUAACGAUUUGGGCACUGUCUCAACGAGAGACUCGGUGAAAUUUUAGUACCUGUGAAGAUGCAGGUUACCCGCGACAGGACGGAAAGACCCCAUGGAGCUUUACUGUAAUUUGAUAUUGAGUGUCUGUACCGCAUGUACAGGAUAGGUAGGAGCCGUAGAGAUCGGGACGCUAGUUUCGAUGGAGGCAAUGGUGGGAUACUACCCUUGCGUUAUGGCCACUCUAACCCGCAUCACUAAUCGUGAUGGGAGACAGUGUCAGAUGGGCAGUUUGACUGGGGCGGUCGCCUCCUAAAAGGUAACGGAGGCGCCCAAAGGUUCCCUCAGAAUGGUUGGAAAUCAUUCGUAGAGUGCAAAGGCAAAAGGGAGCUUGACUGCGAGAGCUACAACUCGAGCAGGGACGAAAGCCGGGCUUAGUGAUCCGGUGGUUCCGCAUGGAAGGGCCAUCGCUCAACGGAUAAAAGCUACCCUGGGGAUAACAGGCUUAUCUCCCCCAAGAGUCCACAUCGACGGGGAGGUUUGGCACCUCGAUGUCGGCUCGUCGCAUCCUGGGGCUGUAGUCGGUCCCAAGGGUUGGGCUGUUCGCCCAUUAAAGCGGCACGCGAGCUGGGUUCAGAACGUCGUGGGACAGUUCGGUCCCUAUCCGUCGCGGGCGUUGGAAAUUUGAGAGGAGCUGUCCUUAGUACGAGAGGACCGGGAUGGACUUACCGCUGGUGUACCAGUUGUCUCGCCAGAGGCAUCGCUGGGUAGCUAUGUAGGGAAGGGAUAAACGCUGAAAGCAACUAAGUGUGAAGCCCACCUCAAGAUGAGAUUUCCCAUUUCUUUAAGAAAGUAAGAUCCCUGAGAGAUGAUCAGGUAGAUAGGUCAGGAGUGGAAGUGCAGCGAUGUACGGAGCGGACUGAUACUAAUCGAUCGAGGACUUAACCG